CAACAGGGAUUGCCUUAGUAACUGCGAGUGAAGCGGCAAAAGCUCAAAUUUGAAAUCUGGCGUCUUCGGCGUCCGAGUUGUAAUUUGGAGGGAUAUCUUCGGGGUUGGCGCCGUCCUAAGUUCCUUGGAACAGGACGUCAUAGAGGGUGAGAAUCCCGUGCCUGGAUGGCUGUCCAACUCCAUGUGAAGUGUCUCCGACGAGUCGAGUUGUUUGGGAAUGCAGCUCAAAAUGGGUGGUAAAUUUCAUCUAAAGCUAAAUAUUGGCGAGAGACCGAUAGCGCACAAGUAGAGUGAUCGAAAGAUGAAAAGCACUUUGAAAAGAGAGUUAAAAAGUACGUGAAAUUGUUGAAAGGGAAGCGCUUGCGACCAGACUCGAUCUUUGGUGAUCAGCCGGGCUUCGGUUCGGNUGCCCUCACCAUUGAUUGGGCCAGCAUCGGUUCUGACGGCGGGAUAAAAGGAGGAGGAAUGUGGCUCCCUUCGGGGAGUGUUAUAGCCUCCUUCACAAUGCCGCCAGUUGGGACCGAGGACCGCGCUUCGGCUAGGAUGCUGGCGUAAUGGUCUUAAGCGACCCGUCUUGAAACACGGACCAAGGAGUCUAACAUCUAUGCGAGUGUUCGGGUGGAAAACCCUUGCGCGUAAUGAAAGUGAACGGAGGUGUGAACCCUUUACGGGGUGCAACAUCGACCGGUCCUGAUGUCUUCGGAAGGAUCUGAGCUAAGAGCAUAGCUGUCUGGGACCCGAAAGAUGGUGAACUAUGCUCUGAAUAGGGUGAAGCACAGAGGAAACUCUGCGUGGAGAGCUCGCAGCGGUUCUGACGUGCAAAUCGAUCGUCAAAUUUGGGUAUAGGGG
Molecule: ribosomal RNA, 849 nt
Filed under: Tricharina sp. Barr 5907
Lineage: Eukaryota; Fungi; Ascomycota; Pezizomycetes; Pezizales; Pyronemataceae
Description: eukaryotic LSU rRNA
Rfam family: Eukaryotic large subunit ribosomal RNA
Source: RNAcentral